RNAcentral lists this ribosomal RNA (253 nucleotides) under uncultured bacterium. RNAcentral describes it as "partial 16S ribosomal RNA". It matches the Rfam family "Bacterial small subunit ribosomal RNA", at positions 524 to 776 of the family's 1533-position model. The record is from RNAcentral.
UACGUAGGGGGCAAGCGUUGUCCGGAUUUACUGGGUGUAAAGGGUGCGUAGGCGGCUUUGCAAGUCAGAAGUGAAAUCUAUGGGCUUAACCCAUAAACUGCUUUUGAAACUGCAGGGCUUGAGUGAAGUAGAGGUAGGCGGAAUUCCCGGUGUAGCGGUGAAAUGCGUAGAGAUCGGGAGGAACACCAGUGGCGAAGGCGGCCUACUGGGCUUUAACUGACGCUGAGGCACGAAAGUGUGGGUAGCAAACAGG